Long non-coding RNA from Cygnus olor (mute swan), 3053 nucleotides. RefSeq lists it as uncharacterized. NCBI's taxonomy places the organism in Eukaryota, Metazoa, Chordata, Aves, Anseriformes, Anatidae. The transcript is spliced from 4 exons. The record is from RefSeq and is a predicted model, not a curated record.
AGCUGCUUCUACAGUAUUGAGUUGUGGUUUUUUUGCUUUUUUUUUUUUCUCUCUGAUAUAAAUUGCUUAAAUUUAAGUCUGCAGGCAUAAGACUUGGUCUCUCUUCCAAAUCACUGACGUUAGUCAUAAGUCUAAAUUUCCAGUCAUUUUAUGACUCUUGCUGAAGUACUGUCCUAAAUUGCUUCCUGUGGAUAAGAGUAGCAUAGUUUAAUUACACACUUUCGAAGAAGUAUUUCCUUUGAAUUGUUUAAAAUGUCUCCUUUGUCCCCUUGUUUUUGAAUUACUAUACACAGAGACAAAAGUUGGUCAUCAGCUGUUUUUCUACUGUUCAUUAAUGUGUGCAAUUCUGUCUUACGUCUUUUCUCAAUGGAAAAAAAAUCGCCAAAAUAUCACUCUUAAGUGUUUGUGUCUAGAAAUGCUUUUCAUAUGUCAAUAAUCUUUGUAACCCUCUCCAAAACUUCUAGAGCAGCAUCACCUUUCAUACUUGGUGAUCAAUCUGGUACUUACCAUUCCAAAUGAAGCCCCAUCAUUUUGUUACCUUAAGCAAAUAAUAAUGUUUUUGUAUUAUUCUGCAUCUCAUUCCUUGCAGAUCCUAGUAUUUUGGGAUACAGUGGUCUGAGGUCAACAAAGUCCAGCUGAUACCAAAAGAGGUUAUUUCAUACUUAAAAUUCCCGUUCACCUAUGUCGCAUCCCAGGUUCAGCCCUGAACUCCAGUAUGUGCUUCCCUGUACUACCGAGAUACCAGUUGUUGAAUGUCUUCCACUUCAGUGAUGUAGUUAGCCAAGGGAUGGAUUGGAUGGAAUGGCAGGACGUUGGGUGCACAAGACAAACCCAGGACUAUGAGUUGCAUCAGGAUGGUGAGAAACAUCAGAUGUUUACUGCCCCUGGAGAAACCCUGCAGUCUGGAGCCAGGUGCUUUCCCCAAGGAACUUGCUUACCCUGCUCUCUCUCACCCACUGCGAAGUGCCUGGCUCUGUCUCCCCUGUAACCAACUUGUAGGAUUGCUACCAACCACUGACAGGUUGCUGGUUUUAGGGCUUGAUUGAAGCUUCCUCUUUCUCAGCUGCCAGAGUAACCUGAGGAUUCCCCACAUAACCAGAAAUCUUCUAAGGUAGAACUGAUUAUGUUGUUAUUUUCGGCCACAUUUUCUUCUGAAAGAAUUAGUGAAGAACUAAUUGCUGUGCACACCUUCCUAAUAUGUUUCCUGUAACAUAAAGUAACUUCAAUUAAAGAAACAUUUCGUCAGCUUAAGAAACAAAACAAAACGAACAAUCCUUUGGCAUAUUCACAUUAAAUGCCAGCUCUGAGUGCAGUUAAGCUCUGCUGACAAGUUGCCCACAAAGGCUGUAGCACCUCCAUCUUUGAAAAUUUUCAAAACUUGACUGAACAAUCAAACUUUUUGAGACUAAUAUAAUCUAAUCUAACUUUUAAAGACUAAUCUUAUCUAACUUUUAAAUUAGUGGUGCUUUGAUCAGGAUGUUGAAUUAUGUUACACCCAGCCCUCCCUUCAGUGGGAAUCUCUCCAGUAGAAGGAUAAUUAGUUAAGUACAUUACAUUUUUGAAUUGGGGAAGUAGGCAAACAAAACAAGCACAGAAAACAACUCCUUGGGAGCUUUUUUUUCAGGUUUUCUUUUUUAAAUACAUUCUAAGUUCUUCCAAAAGGAAACACUGAAAAUCAUGAGCAGCAGCAAAUAGUGAUCGAGAGGGACGCUUUUAUUAAAUAAAGAAUUUAGAGUAUCAGUGUUACAGACAUAAUUCAGUGGGUAUCUGCUGCCCCCUUCAGACUACAUUAAAGAAAAACAAAUUUUUAAAUCAGAAAUUAAUAGCAUUCCAUUCUUUUGCACUAGUUUUUGCUGGGCAGUGGGAACGAACCCUAAGAAUAAAUACAUUUUUAAGUAGAUAGCUGGUGAAAUUUUUUUUAUAUCAGCAGUAGAUUUUUUUUUAUUUUAAUGAGUAAGACAAACCAUACUUCAAGUUACUACUUCAGCUGCUAGGUUCGAUACUCACAGUGGAAAAAAAGAUCUUGGACUUGGAAAAAAUCUGUGGACUAGGACGUGGGAAAACUGGAAAUUAAUUAAAGCUUCUAGAGUGUGUUUAUACAUUUUUGGUUAAGUCAUUCCAAUUCUGUGAUUCAGUUCUUCAUGUGCAAAACACAUGAUGCCUCAUCUCUUUUUAAAUCUUCCUUUUAAUUCAGAGUAAGAUUUGGUAGCAAGAUCAAGACCAGAUUGGCAGAAAUUCUUUCUUACCUGCUCCCCAGACAGGGGAUAACACGACUGGGUUUUAUAUGCCUAAAUACACUUGUAUGUCCACUGCUCAGUGUAUGCACGUGUAUACAUUUGUGUGUAUAUAUAUGUAUUCAACAGCUCUCUAAUCUCAGCUGAAAUUAAGUACUCCCAAUAAGAAGAAACAACAGCUUUGUGCAAAUGUAGACCCAUUACUCUUAGCUAAAAAGGACAGAUGUAGAUAGAAAAACUGAUCGUACAAUUACUGUUUUCUAUUUGGGAUGUAACAUCAUACAUUUUCUAAGCUUGUCUGAGAAGAUUUUUAUAAAACUGAUAAAAAGAGAAGAUUUAAAAUAAGAUUAUUAUAUGCAUUGAGUGUUCUUACUCUACUGAGGGAAAGAAAUUACAUUUCUGAACACUUACUUUAUAUCAAUCUCCUAUUAACACAACUUGCUGAGGUGAUAGCAAAAAUAAAUACCAGACUUUUGUUUGGUGCUAUUGCUUUUUUUUAUUUCCUCAUACAUGAUUUAAGCAAAAUAGUUAAGGAAGAACAGAGAUACAGAUUUGAUGGUACACUUCAUUCCACAAUCCUCAUAACAUAAGGAUCCCAAAGAAUAAAACCUACAUGUUUUAAAGUGGAAAGAAUGUAUCAUCUAGGUAUUUUUUUUCCCAAACCUGAAACAGUUAUUUUCUGCUUUGGUGAAUCUGAAUUCUUAGAGCUUCUAAUUGAUGCUCUUGGAUGCCCAAGUACAUACACUGUAUUCUGUUUGCUGUCCUGUCUGUACUCAUUUUGCUGAUAAUAGAAAAAUAAAAAGUAAAAAAAAAAAAAAA